This 2916-nucleotide long non-coding RNA is filed under the name Brassica napus (rape). Its description in RNAcentral is "long non-coding RNA (BNAP_LNC021451)". Lineage: Eukaryota; Viridiplantae; Streptophyta; Magnoliopsida; Brassicales; Brassicaceae. The record is from RNAcentral.
CUGUAGCAGCAUUUCUCCACUUUCAGUUCCACCUCCACCACCAUCCCCACCCCCACCCCCACCACCUUCGUUUGGGAGCACAGGAAAUAAACUUCAGGCGCAGCCACCUCCUCCUCCUCCGAUCCAUGCAUCUUUGACUAAAUGUGCACCCCCACCCCCACAGCCACCUACAUCUCAUUCUGGUCUUGCUCGUGUUGGCCCAUCUUCUGCACCCCCACCACCUCCACCUCCGCCUCCUAAGGCUAAUAUUUCAAAUGCCCACAUGCCACCUCCUCCACCACCUCCACUUCCUCCUUCAUCUGCAAAGUUGGGGCCGCCCCCUCCACCCCCACCACAUCCUCCUUCAUCUGUAAAGUUGGGUGCUCCCCCUCCGCCUCCACCACCACCACCACUUCCUCCUUCAUCUGCAAAGUUGGAUGCUCCCCCUCCGCCUCCUCCACCACCACGUCCUCCUUCAUCUGCAAAGUUGGGUGCUCCCCUUCCGCCUCCUCCACCACCACUUCCUCCUUCAUCUGCAAAGUUGGGUGCGCCCCCUCCGCCUCCACCACCACCACGUCCUCCUUCAUCUGCAAAGUUGGGUGCUCCCCCCCGAUUCUGAUCUUAUCGGAUUCGCUUCAGGUUUCGCUACAAUGUCUCUGUUAAGUAGGUUCUUCUACAAGAGACCACCAGAUGGGUUGCUUGAGUUUGCUGAUAGAGUUUAUGGUAAAAUCAUAUUAACGAUUACUCUUCAUGUUGUUAUGUACUCUAAUAUGGCAAAAAUCUUUGUGAUUUGGACAGUUUUCGAUUCUUGUUUUUGCACGGAAGUGUUGCCGGAUGACUUAUACCAAAUCUUCCUUCACGAAGUCAUCAAUGACUUACAUGAAGACUUUCCCGAAUCAUCUUUUCUAGCAUUCAAUUUCCGACAAGGGGAGAAAAAGAAAAGAAGCGUCUUUGCUGAAACCCUCUGUGAAUACGAUGUUACCGUCCUUGAGUAUCCAAGGCACUAUGAAGGCUGCCCUUUGCUUCCUUUAUCACUGAUCCAGCAUUUUCUCCGUGUCUGUGAGAGCUGGCUUUCUCGUGGGAGCCGUCAGGAUGUUAUUCUUCUUCACUGUGAAAGAGGAGCCUGGCCUCUUCUGGCUUUUGUCCUUGCUAGUUUCUUGAUUUUCAGGAAAGUUCACAGCGGCGAGCGAAGGUGUCUUGAGAUUGUGCUUCGUGAGGCUCCCAAGGGUCUCUUGCAGCUGCUCUCGCCCUUAAAUCCUUUCCCGUCUCAACUUCGUUAUCUUGAGUAUGUAGCGAGGAGGAACUUGAAUCCUCAGUGGCCACCUCCUGAAAGAGCGCUUUCUUUGGAUUGUGUGAUUAUUCGAGGUAUUCCAAUUUUUGACUCCCAAUAUGGAUGCAGACCUAUUAUACGUAUCUUUGGAAGAAGCUUUAGUAGCACAACUGGUCUUUCCACGGAGAUGCUCUAUUCUAUGUCCAAUAUAGAUAAACCCCUCCGGCUUUACCGACAGGUUGGUCUGUGCUAUUCAUUUUGUGAUUUCUGCAAUACGUUCUUUCCGAGUAACGUAACAACUCUCUAUAAUCUGGCUUCAGGCAGAAUGUGAGGUGAUCAAAAUUGACAUCCAGUGCUGGGUGCAAGGAGAUGUUGUACUGGAGUGUGUGCAUAUGGAUUUAGAACCAGAACGAGAGGUUAUGAUGUUUCGUGUGAUGUUCAAUACUGCAUUUAUCAGGUCCAACAUACUAAUUCUGAACCCUGACAACUUGGAUAUUCUUUGGGAGGCCAAGAAUCAUUAUCCAAAAGGGUUUCGAGCAGAGGUAUGGACCCUUUUGUUCAUUUCUUUAAAAUUUUAUAUGUAUAUGAGAAAAUAUGGGUGCAGAGGAGAAACAACACAAAUAAAUUAUUAAUAUAUGCGUGCGAUUGUGUCUGACUCCCUCCGUUCUUCAUGCAUUCAGGUUUUGUUUGGAGAAGUUGAGAAUGCUUCGCCUCAGAAAGUUCCAACCCCAAUAGUAAAUGGUAAUGAGAUUGGUGGCUUGCCCAUAGAAGCCUUUUCUAAAGUUCAAGAACUUUUUAGUGGUGUGGAUUUGGCUGAAAAUGGAGACGAUGCUGCUUUUUGGUUGCUGAAACAACUUGCUGCCAUAAAUGAUGCAAAAGAGUUCCGGCACAAAGGGAGUUAUUAUUUUAAUUCUCCCGACUCUGAAGAGGAGACCAACACAUCUAGUGCCGCCGGCAGUUCUGAUGAAGGACUUGAUGCCACUCAUAGACCUCGAGCCUCUCUAUCUUUUGAUAAUGAUGAGACAGAAGACAUUUCUACAUCGUUGGCUCCUGAAUCUUCAGAGGAACCUCAUGUAUUCCCUCGUCGUCAACAGCAAGAAGUUUCAGCGAAGCAAAGUGUCCACCCUUCGACUCUUCCACCUUCUGUCACACUUUUGCCUCCACCGCCACCGCCCCCUCCAUUUCCCGUAAACAAAGUUACAAGCAUAGGCUCGUUGUCAUCCCAACCCCCACCUCCGCCGCCACCUCUCCCUAGUUUCAGCAGUAGAGAUCCUCUGACAACAUCGCACCAGCCUUUCAACAAAACCCCACCACCUCCUCUACCUUACUGUAGCAGCAUUUCUCCACUUUCAGUUCCACCUCCACCACCAUCCCCACCCCCACCCCCACCACCUUCGUUUGGGAGCACAGGAAAUAAACUUCAGGCGCAGCCACCUCCUCCUCCUCCGAUCCAUGCAUCUUUGACUAAAUGUGCACCCCCACCCCCACAGCCACCUACAUCUCAUUCUGGUCUUGCUCGUGUUGGCCCAUCUUCUGCACCCCCACCACCUCCACCUCCGCCUCCUAAGGCUAAUAUUUCAAAUGCCCACAUGCCACCUCCUCCACCACCUCCACUUCCUCCUUCAUCUGCAAAGUUGGGGCCGCCCCCUCCACCCCCACCACAUCCU